RNAcentral lists this ribosomal RNA (490 nucleotides) under uncultured bacterium. Its description in RNAcentral is "partial 16S ribosomal RNA". It matches the Rfam family "Bacterial small subunit ribosomal RNA", at positions 30 to 507 of the family's 1533-position model. The record is from RNAcentral.
AUUGAACGCUGGCGGCAGGCCUAACACAUGCAAGUCGAACGGUAACAGGAAGAAGCUUGCUUCUUUGCUGACGAGUGGCGGACGGGUGAGUAAUGUCUGGGAAACUGCCUGAUGGAGGGGGAUAACUACUGGAAACGGUAGCUAAUACCGCAUAACGUCGCAAGACCAAAGAGGGGGACCUUCGGGCCUCUUGCCAUCGGAUGUGCCCAGAUGGGAUUAGCUAGUAGGUGGGGUAACGGCUCACCUAGGCGACGAUCCCUAGCUGGUCUGAGAGGAUGACCAGCCACACUGGAACUGAGACACGGUCCAGACUCCUACGGGAGGCAGCAGUGGGGAAUAUUGCACAAUGGGCGCAAGCCUGAUGCAGCCAUGUCGCGUGUAUGAAGAAGGCCUUCGGGUUGUAAAGUACUUUCAGCGGGGAGGAAGGGAGUAAAGUUAAUACCUUUACUCAUUGACGUUACCCGCAGAAGAAGCACCGGCUAACUCCGUG